This 426-nucleotide ribosomal RNA is filed under the name uncultured prokaryote. Its description in RNAcentral is "bacterial SSU rRNA". It matches the Rfam family "Bacterial small subunit ribosomal RNA", at positions 355 to 796 of the family's 1533-position model. The record is from RNAcentral.
UGGGGAAUUUUCCGCAGUGGGCGAAAGCCUGACGGAGCAAUACCGCGUGAGGGAGGAAGGCUUUUGGGUUGUAAACCUCUUUUCUUAGGGAAGAAGUUCUGACGGUACCUAAGGAAUCAGCAUCGGCUAACUCCGUGCCAGCAGCCGCGGUAAUACGGAGGAUGCAAGCGUUAUCCGGAAUUAUUGGGCGUAAAGCGUCCGCAGGUGGCUCUUCAAGUCUGCUGUCAAAGACCAGAGCUCAACUCUGGGCAGGCGGUGGAAACUGGGGAGCUAGAGUACGGUAGGGGUAGAGGGAAUUCCCAGUGUAGCGGUGAAAUGCGUAGAGAUUGGGAAGAACACCAGUGGCGAAGGCGCUCUACUGGACCGGGAUUGACGCUGAGGCGCGAAAGCGUGGGGAGCAAACAGGAUUAGAUACCCCGGUAGUCC